RNAcentral lists this ribosomal RNA (700 nucleotides) under Halomonas sp. RNAcentral describes it as "bacterial SSU rRNA". It matches the Rfam family "Bacterial small subunit ribosomal RNA", at positions 56 to 752 of the family's 1533-position model. The record is from RNAcentral. Lineage: Bacteria; Pseudomonadati; Pseudomonadota; Gammaproteobacteria; Oceanospirillales; Halomonadaceae.
UGCAAGUCGAGCGGUAACAGGGGUGUGCUUGCUACCCGCUGACGAGCGGCGGACGGGUGAGUAAUGCAUAGGAAUCUGCCCGAUAGUGGGGGAUAACCUGGGGAAACCCAGGCUAAUACCGCAUACGUCCUACGGGAGAAAGGGGGCUCCGGCUCCCGCUAUCGGAUGAGCCUAUGUCGGAUUAGCUAGUUGGUGAGGUAAAGGCUCACCAAGGCGACGAUCCGUAGCUGGUCUGAGAGGAUGAUCAGCCACAUCGGGACUGAGACACGGCCCGAACUCCUACGGGAGGCAGCAGUGGGGAAUAUUGGACAAUGGGGGGAACCCUGAUCCAGCCAUGCCGCGUGUGUGAAGAAGGCCCUCGGGUUGUAAAGCACUUUCAGUGAGGAAGAACGCCUGGUGGUUAAUACCCAUCAGGAAAGACAUCACUCACAGAAGAAGCACCGGCUAACUCCGUGCCAGCAGCCGCGGUAAUACGGAGGGUGCGAGCGUUAAUCGGAAUUACUGGGCGUAAAGCGCGCGUAGGUGGCUUGAUAAGCCGGUUGUGAAAGCCCCGGGCUCAACCUGGGAACGGCAUCCGGAACUGUCAAGCUAGAGUGCAGGAGAGGAAGGUAGAAUUCCCGGUGUAGCGGUGAAAUGCGUAGAGAUCGGGAGGAAUACCAGUGGCGAAGGCGGCCUUCUGGACUGACACUGACACUGAGGU